Molecule: ribosomal RNA, 441 nt
Filed under: uncultured Anaerolineae bacterium
Lineage: Bacteria; Bacillati; Chloroflexota; Anaerolineae
Description: partial 16S ribosomal RNA
Rfam family: Bacterial small subunit ribosomal RNA
Source: RNAcentral
CCUACGGGAGGCAGCAGUGAGGAAUAUUGCGCAAUGGGCGAAAGCCUGACGCAGCAACGCCGCGUGAGGGAUGAAGGCCUUCGGGUUGUAAACCUCUUUUCUGGGGAACGAGAUCAGGACGGUACCUCGGGAAUAAGUCUCGGCUAACUACGUGCCAGCAGCCGCGGUAAAACGUAGGAGGCGAGCGUUAUCCGGAUUUACUGGGCGUAAAGCGCACGCAGGCGGCUUCGUUAGUCGGAUGUGAAAGCUCCUGGCUUAACUGGGAGAGGCCAUUCGAUACUGCGGGGCUUGAGAUUGGGAGAGGGGUGCGGAAUCCCCGGUGUAGUGGUGAAAUGCGUAGAUAUCGGGAGGACCACCAGUGGCGAGGGCAGCCCCCGGGGUUGACACUGACGCUCAGGCACGAAAGCGGGGGGAGCAAACGGGAUUAGAUACCCUUGUAGU